Molecule: small RNA, 127 nt
Filed under: Marmota monax (woodchuck)
Lineage: Eukaryota; Metazoa; Chordata; Mammalia; Rodentia; Sciuridae
Source: RNAcentral
GCUGGGUGUGGUGGCACAUGUCUGUAAUUCCAGUGGCUUGGGAGGCUGAGGCAGGAGGAUCACAAGUUCAAAGCCAGCCUCAGCAAUUUAGCAAGCGCCUAAGCAACUUAGUGAGACCCUGUCUCAA